CCUACGGGCGGCAGCAGUGGGGAAUAUUGCACAAUGGGGGGAACCCUGAUGCAGCGACGCCGCGUGAGUGAAGAAGUAUUUCGGUGUGUAAAGCUCUAUCAGCAGGGAAGAAAAUGACGGUACCUGAUUAAGAAGCCCCGGCUAACUACGUGCCAGCAGCCGCGGUAAUACGUAGGGGGCAAGCGUUAUCCGGAUUUACGGGGUGUAAAGGGAGCGUAGACGGCUGGACAAGUCUGGAGUGAAAGGCAGGGGCCCAACCCCCGGACUGCUCUGGAAACUGUAAAGCUAGAGUGCAGGAGAGGUAAGCGGAAUUCCUAGUGUAGCGGUGAAAUGCGUAGAUAUUAGGAGGAACACCAGUGGCGAAGGCGGCUUACUGGACUGCAACUGACGUUGAGGCUCGAAAGCGUGGGGAGCAAACAGGAUUAGAUACCCCAGUAGUC
RNAcentral lists this ribosomal RNA (440 nucleotides) under uncultured bacterium. RNAcentral's name for it is "partial 16S ribosomal RNA". It matches the Rfam family "Bacterial small subunit ribosomal RNA", at positions 338 to 795 of the family's 1533-position model. The record is from RNAcentral.